UCCCUCGUGGCUUAGAGGGUAAAGCGUCUGCCUGCAAUGCAGGAGACCCGGGUUCAAUCCCCGAGUCGGGAA
RNAcentral lists this transfer RNA (72 nucleotides) under Bos taurus (domestic cattle). It matches the Rfam family "tRNA". From Rfam's summary of the family: Transfer RNA (tRNA) molecules are approximately 80 nucleotides in length. Their secondary structure includes four short double-helical elements and three loops (D, anti-codon, and T loops). RNAcentral also lists the same sequence under 2 other names. The record is from Rfam by way of RNAcentral. Lineage: Eukaryota; Metazoa; Chordata; Mammalia; Artiodactyla; Bovidae.